AGUCAGCAUAUUUCCCCCAACAAUCUGGCUCCUCAUUUUACAACCUGGGAAGGAUGGAAAGUUGAGUCACCCUUGAGAUGGUCAGAAUUGAACUCCUGGCAGUGAACAGCAAUGGAUGAUGAAACCCUCUUCUGCUUGGAAAAAAAUUCAAUAGCAAAACCCCGUGUAUACAAACUUGAUAUAUGAUAAUAAUCAUAAUAUGCAUAAAAUAUAAGAAGUUGCAUUUUAAAUAGUUAAUCUGCUCUUUGCUGUGAAAACUCAUGAAGAUAUAUACUGGAAAAUAUGCCUGAAGCACCUGCAUUUUUUUAAAAAAAAUAUUUUGCAUUAAUUCUUAUAUGAGAUCCUUUUUGUUUUCUAAUAACCUGCUGUUGUCUUUUACAACAGGAUACUAGAUUGGGUAAAGAUUGUAUUUCUCUUUGGUAUCUGCUUCUACUUGGAAGAAUCACAGAGAAAAAAAAGAAAGAGAAAAAAGCGUCAAUUGUUUCUGGGCUAUCAUUGUGUUCUAAUUCUUUUAGUAAGUUCACACAAUAAUAUUUGAAUAAAACCGGAACAAAUUCUACUUGAGAACUGCAUGGAACUAAUGAGGAACAAAGAGACCAUGUUAUACUCUUUGCUGUCUGAACAAUGGCCUUGUUGCUGUUUGAUCUUUUAUUUUGUUGGUUUCCUUCUUUUCUGAAAGAAGCAAGUUAUAUUAUAUUUCAAAGUUCUGUUCAUUGCUUCAACCCUGACAACCUGUUCUGCAGAUUUAAACAGUUAAUAAAGGAAUCACCAUUUGUCUUCCA
This is a long non-coding RNA of Ahaetulla prasina, 782 nucleotides long. RefSeq lists it as uncharacterized. The record is from RefSeq and is a predicted model, not a curated record. The transcript is spliced from 2 exons. Lineage: Eukaryota; Metazoa; Chordata; Lepidosauria; Squamata; Colubridae.